RNAcentral lists this unclassified non-coding RNA (1297 nucleotides) under Hevea brasiliensis (rubber tree). Lineage: Eukaryota; Viridiplantae; Streptophyta; Magnoliopsida; Malpighiales; Euphorbiaceae. The record is from RNAcentral.
AAAAAAAAAAAAAAAAAAAAAAACAAAAUAGCAAGUUGAAAUACAGGGGAUUGUGAAUACCCAGUUCUGUGGCCCCUAGUAAAAUUAGCCACCAAUUUGUAUCUGUGUUCAUUAUAUAUGAAUAAUUCCUUCCUUUGUCCUAACUAGCAGAAGAGAGCAUGAGAACCAAAACAGAUUCUACCACCCCAAAAUGAAGGCGUGUAUUUCAGCCCAACCGGACACUGUGUAUAGCGUGCCAGAUUGUCCCUUCCAUUUAGAAGAGCUUUCUUUGACGCACUCUUUCUGUUUUUUAAUCAAACCAGGGUACAAUGGUAAAAAUGACACACCAAACUGACCUCCCACUCUCCUGAGGCUUGAGCUAGAUCCAAUCACAAUGCCUACAUCAGCCUGAAGCAGACAAAGCAGGUCACCAACUGAGUCUCCAAUAUAAACAGUCAAGUUCUUUUUGUCAGUGCUGUAGCUCUUUAAAAUAGUGUUGAAAGAUUGAACUUUGUCUAUAGGAGAUUCCACUUUCUUAAUAAUCUCGCCAGUGGAAAUUGAAUCUUCAAAAGAGAACUCAUUUGCAUGUAUAUUCAGAACAUCCAAACCCCCUGAUGAGAAAGCAGAUCUAAUGAGAUCAGCACACCAACAAUAUGAGAGCACAUGUAUAUUAGCAUUCAAAUUUUCAUUCUUCACAAUUUUCUUAAAAAAACUAGUGCAACCAUCUUGAAGAAUCAGUCGUUCACCAGCUCUUUUAAUGUCUUCAAGAUUCAGACCCUUAAGAACUCCAGAUUCAAUCACUCUACUGUUUGCCCUUUGCUCGAAGUCUGAAAGUUGCUCAAUUGCUUUACACAGAACUUCAUAGUUAAACUCCACUUUCUCAGAGGGCAGAAUGCUUUCAAUGCAUUGUUCAUACUCUUCUGUAUACUGUCCAGAGAGAAGACCCCACGUGUUCCUCAGCUCAGCUGAUGACAUCCUGGCAAUUUGAUUCUCAGGUUGAGCCUGAUCAGACUUUGGUGCUGUUACAAUUGCAAUCUCUGCCAAAAUGGCAGAGGAAUCAACAAUGGUGCAUGUCAAAUCAAAAUCAGAAAAUAUCACAAGGCGAUCUUCUACAGGGUUAUGCUCUUUUGUUAGAGGAACCACAGUGGACUGCACAAGUGGCUGCACAUUGAAGAACUCUAUUUCCAGUUUCAUGGCUUGGUGAUAAAGCUUUUCAAUGAUGUCAAGCUCUUCGCCUGUCAAAGGGACACUAAGUUUAUCCAGCAAGUCUUCAGUUUGCAGAGCUGAUGCCUGAAAACCCUCAGAUGAGUAAUUGUCA